Molecule: ribosomal RNA, 468 nt
Filed under: uncultured bacterium
Lineage: Bacteria
Description: partial 16S ribosomal RNA
Rfam family: Bacterial small subunit ribosomal RNA
Source: RNAcentral
GACGAACGCUGGCGGCGUGCUUAACACAUGCAAGUCGAACGGAAAGGCCCUGCUUUUGUGGGGUGCUCGAGUGGCGAACGGGUGAGUAACACGUGAGUAACCUGCCCUUGACUUUGGGAUAACUUCAGGAAACUGGGGCUAAUACCGGAUAGGAGCUCCUGCUGCAUGGUGGGGGUUGGAAAGUUUCGGCGGUUGGGGAUGGACUCGCGGCUUAUCAGCUUGUUGGUGGGGUAGUGGCUUACCAAGGCUUUGACGGGUAGCCGGCCUGAGAGGGUGACCGGCCACAUGGGGACUGAGAGACGGACCAGACUCCUACGGGAGGCAGCAGGGGGGAAUAUUGCACAAUGGGCGGAAGCCUGAUGCAGCAACGCCGCGUGCGGGAUGACGUCCUUCGGGUGGUAAACCGCUUUCGCCUGUGACGAAGCGUGAGUGACGGUAAUGGGUAAAGAAGCACCGGCUAACUACGUG